This is a long non-coding RNA of Siniperca chuatsi (mandarin fish), 1456 nucleotides long. RefSeq lists it as uncharacterized. The transcript has 6 exons. Lineage: Eukaryota; Metazoa; Chordata; Actinopteri; Centrarchiformes; Sinipercidae. The record is from RefSeq and is a predicted model, not a curated record.
UUAGAAAGCAGUGAAUGAAACACAUAAUCUUUCUAGGUUCAUAUUGAAUUGAGGACAUGUAGACUCUGAAUCCAAUAAAGGGGUUCUCAAAGUGGUUCCACCUGAGACCCAGACUGAAUUAAGCAUAACCCCUGGGUCUCACUGGGGAAACCAGAGCAAAUUAAAAUAUAAUCAAACUCUUGAGAGUUUGAUUGAGAUUAGACCCAUCAGGAACAGACUAAUUUCUUGUGAAUAUGAUCAGUGACUCCCAGACUGGGACCAAAAGACCUCCAGGAGUACAUCAAGAGGCCCCAUAUCCACUGCUGAAUGGUGUGAUUUCACUCUUAUUUAAUUUGAGGAUAUGAGAAGCACCCACUGACAUGAGCUUUACUGGAUCAGAGAUUUCACUCUCUCUGCUGUAACAUAACAAUGGCCAAGAACAAUAUCAAACCCAGUGUGACAAUAAAUACUGUCUCAAAUCUGGCUUCCUUGGGGAAAGUUUAUCUAAUGGGUGACUCGUUUGUGUCUUUUGAGCGGGCUUAGGCAUGGAAACGUUUAGUUAGAAGCUCCUGGCACAAGUACACCUGGUGUAAAACUGAGUCGUCAGCUCUGCAAUGUCACUUUAAGUCCAACAGAUGUCCCUGUCUAAUCACACUUUCACACUGCCUGGGGCAGCAGACAUGGUACAACUGAAUUGAAGAUUUGACACUACAGAUGACAUGGCCACAGGUUGUGACAGCCAAUUUUCGGUCAGCACUGGGGGAAAGGAAGCAGGAGUUGCAGCACAUCCAAUAAGACAUUUGAAGACCUACAAGAAGAUAAGGUCUCACCAGCCUCUCUCCAGCAAAGACAGCAAACCUUGUGGAGUUGGUUUGGAAGCAAAGGUAGUGCUGACCAGAGGCGUGAGCUGUGAAGUAACUCCAAGGUGAGGGGAGUUGGUGAACAUCUUCAAAUCCCAAGGCUCCAACAAGAAAUAACCUGAAGAACUCACCGGUGACCAGCAUGUCUUCAGGAAUCUCUUCAAUGAUGCAUUUUUCCUCCUGUUCUGCAAGAUCAAAAUACAUGGCUGCUGCCAACAUCAGAUUGUGUUGUCUUCAACCUGCCCAGAAACCUUUUCUGAAAAAGAGGUCACUUUUCGUGUAGCUGGUGUCUGUUCUGCCUAUUAAAUGGGACUCCUGCUUCAUACUGGGAUGUGCUGCACUGGACAUCACAGCAUGAUGUGAGCUCUUAGAGAUUUCAGGCCUCAUCAUCUAAAUCAACAUUUGGUGAACUGUUUUAAAUAGUUGGUGAGCACAUUCAUCGUUUUAUGACCAACACUUCAUCAGGGCGAAUCCUAGCCAACACCGGGGCUUGAACCCGUGUCAUCGGUUAAAAGCAUUUCUCUCUACACUCAAUCUGAUCCUGCAGCCCCAAUGUUAGUAAUAUUACCUUGGGAGCCCAAAUGUAAGUAAGCCCAAAUGUGUGGUUGAGAUUUAAA